ACGCUCGACACCUACGGGAGGCAGCAGUGGGGAAUAUUGCACAAUGGGGGAAACCCUGAUGCAGCGACGCCGCGUGAGCGAAGAAGUAUUUCGGUAUGUAAAGCUCUAUCAGCAGGGAAGAAAAUGACGGUACCUGACUAAGAAGCCCCGGCUAACUACGUGCCACAGCCGCGGUAAUCUGAGCGGGCUGGCAAGGC
RNAcentral lists this ribosomal RNA (197 nucleotides) under uncultured bacterium. Its description in RNAcentral is "partial 16S ribosomal RNA". It matches the Rfam family "Bacterial small subunit ribosomal RNA", at positions 328 to 539 of the family's 1533-position model. The record is from RNAcentral.